GGAGAAGGGGAAGGGUUCCGCGAGGGUCCUGGGGUGUGGAGGGCGCCCUCCCUGGCAAGUGAAGGUGAGAGGCUCCAGGAGGACCCCCGGCGCAAACCGGAAGGAGGGCGCAGGGCAGCGAUUCACUCACUUGGGGCGUCCCCUGUGGGUAUUCGCGCAUUCCUGCUAGGGCGGUGAGCGCACGCUCGCUGACUCUGCGGCGCUCGCACAGCCCCCCAGAACACAGCGGGAUUGGGUGCAGAGUGAAGGAGCUCUAGGCGAUUUUCCUUCUCUCCCCGGAGCUGGGAAAAGAGCCAGCCCAGUGUCCCGCACGCCUGGCUCUGCUCUGCUCAGAGCUCGCCGGUGAGCACAGAGCCGGUCGAGCAGAGGCGGCGCACGGUUCGGUCCUGUCACCAUUUCUUCUCAUGCUGACCUGCCCAGGAACCGAGGACUGCGGCAGCACCACGGAGAUCCAACUCAUUUGUUUGGAAAGGGAUCCUUGUGGAGUGGCACCUUGGAAAGCACCCAUCUGAAGCAACGUUGGGUGGAUUGGUUAUGAUUUUCCCAGGACAUGUAAGUAAAUUUACCAUGCUUUAACACGAGUGUUCCUGGUGUAA
RNAcentral lists this long non-coding RNA (596 nucleotides) under Ictidomys tridecemlineatus (thirteen-lined ground squirrel). RNAcentral's name for it is "lncRNA (ENSSTOG00000032077.1)". The record is from RNAcentral. Lineage: Eukaryota; Metazoa; Chordata; Mammalia; Rodentia; Sciuridae.